CAUUAAGUGACUGAAAGAAAGUGUCGGUCUCUUAAACCGUUUUAUAGUAAAUAUCGCCUACUCUUAAUGA
RNAcentral lists this transfer RNA (70 nucleotides) under Gorpis humeralis. Its description in RNAcentral is "tRNA-Lys". The record is from RNAcentral. Lineage: Eukaryota; Metazoa; Arthropoda; Insecta; Hemiptera; Nabidae.